Molecule: long non-coding RNA, 398 nt
Organism: Trichomycterus rosablanca
Lineage: Eukaryota; Metazoa; Chordata; Actinopteri; Siluriformes; Trichomycteridae
Exons: 3
Source: RefSeq, a predicted model, not a curated record
CGAGGAGACGACAGCACCAUUUUCCUCCUCUCAAGUUUACAUGAUUAAAUGAGAAUCUGAGAAGAUGAUGAGGGAGAUUUUUCAGCACCGCCAGAAACUUGUUAAUGAUCCAGGCAGAAGUGCUGAUAUCCUUUCCACCGUCCCAAGAUUUCUGGAUACAAAAGGAUUGGCUGAUCAAGACUCUCCUGUUUUGAUGACAAGAUGGAAUGUGUUCUUCAAGCCAAAUAUCAUAAAAGAGGCCGAGGCUCACCUCAACACCAGAGCUGCGUCACGUGUUGUAGUCAGCAGAAAGUUCACCAGGAAGUGAUCUCGAGGCGACAUGUGUGUUUUGCGUGUUUUAAUGCAUUUGCUAUAAUUUUCACCUUUCAUAACUUUGUAAUUAUAGACUAGUUUAUACA